This 325-nucleotide long non-coding RNA is filed under the name Gossypium raimondii (Peruvian cotton). RNAcentral's name for it is "long non-coding RNA (GRAI_LNC009369)". Lineage: Eukaryota; Viridiplantae; Streptophyta; Magnoliopsida; Malvales; Malvaceae. The record is from RNAcentral.
UUAGUUUCUGCAUUUUUAAGUCAGAACGAGCCUGCUGGUCUAGUGGUUGGUUGUGUGUUACUUUAGCUUGGGGGUCCGAGUUUGAGUCCUUAGGUGUGUUUUGAUGGAAUUAUUUUGAUUUAGCUUUGUUUUGUUUUAAAAGGUUAUAUUUUUAUUUUUUUUGUCUUACUUAUUUUAUUUUGUUGUAUUAAAAAAAGAGAGAAAGGAAAAAGAAGCAGAGAGUUGUUUUUUACGUUUUUGGUUUUCCAAAUUUUCUCUGCACAUUCCUCUUUUCCCCCUCUCCCUCUCUUUUCACGAAAUUUCUUUUUGCGUUGUUAUGGUUUCA